RNAcentral lists this ribosomal RNA (1565 nucleotides) under Escherichia coli. Its description in RNAcentral is "partial 23S ribosomal RNA". It matches the Rfam family "Bacterial large subunit ribosomal RNA", at positions 145 to 1751 of the family's 2925-position model. The record is from RNAcentral. Lineage: Bacteria; Pseudomonadati; Pseudomonadota; Gammaproteobacteria; Enterobacterales; Enterobacteriaceae.
ACACUAUCAUUAACUGAAUCCAUAGGUUAAUGAGGCGAACCGGGGGAACUGAAACAUCUAAGUACCCCGAGGAAAAGAAAUCAACCGAGAUUCCCCCAGUAGCGGCGAGCGAACGGGGAGCAGCCCAGAGCCUGAAUCAGUGUGUGUGUUAGUGGAAGCGUCUGGAAAGGCGCGCGAUACAGGGUGACAGCCCCGUACACAAAAAUGCACAUGCUGUGAGCUCGAUGAGUAGGGCGGGACACGUGGUAUCCUGUCUGAAUAUGGGGGGACCAUCCUCCAAGGCUAAAUACUCCUGACUGACCGAUAGUGAACCAGUACCGUGAGGGAAAGGCGAAAAGAACCCCGGCGAGGGGAGUGAAAAAGAACCUGAAACCGUGUACGUACAAGCAGUGGGAGCACGCUUAGGCGUGUGACUGCGUACCUUUUGUAUAAUGGGUCAGCGACUUAUAUUCUGUAGCAAGGUUAACCGAAUAGGGGAGCCGAAGGGAAACCGAGUCUUAACUGGGCGUUAAGUUGCAGGGUAUAGACCCGAAACCCGGUGAUCUAGCCAUGGGCAGGUUGAAGGUUGGGUAACACUAACUGGAGGACCGAACCGACUAAUGUUGAAAAAUUAGCGGAUGACUUGUGGCUGGGGGUGAAAGGCCAAUCAAACCGGGAGAUAGCUGGUUCUCCCCGAAAGCUAUUUAGGUAGCGCCUCGUGAAUUCAUCUCCGGGGGUAGAGCACUGUUUCGGCAAGGGGGUCAUCCCGACUUACCAACCCGAUGCAAACUGCGAAUACCGGAGAAUGUUAUCACGGGAGACACACGGCGGGUGCUAACGUCCGUCGUGAAGAGGGAAACAACCCAGACCGCCAGCUAAGGUCCCAAAGUCAUGGUUAAGUGGGAAACGAUGUGGGAAGGCCCAGACAGCCAGGAUGUUGGCUUAGAAGCAGCCAUCAUUUAAAGAAAGCGUAAUAGCUCACUGGUCGAGUCGGCCUGCGCGGAAGAUGUAACGGGGCUAAACCAUGCACCGAAGCUGCGGCAGCGACGCUUAUGCGUUGUUGGGUAGGGGAGCGUUCUGUAAGCCUGUGAAGGUGUGCUGUGAGGCAUGCUGGAGGUAUCAGAAGUGCGAAUGCUGACAUAAGUAACGAUAAAGCGGGUGAAAAGCCCGCUCGCCGGAAGACCAAGGGUUCCUGUCCAACGUUAAUCGGGGCAGGGUGAGUCGACCCCUAAGGCGAGGCCGAAAGGCGUAGUCGAUGGGAAACAGGUUAAUAUUCCUGUACUUGGUGUUACUGCGAAGGGGGGACGGAGAAGGCUAUGUUGGCCGGGCGACGGUUGUCCCGGUUUAAGCGUGUAGGCUGGUUUUCCAGGCAAAUCCGGAAAAUCAAGGCUGAGGCGUGAUGACGAGGCACUACGGUGCUGAAGCAACAAAUGCCCUGCUUCCAGGAAAAGCCUCUAAGCAUCAGGUAACAUCAAAUCGUACCCCAAACCGACACAGGUGGUCAGGUAGAGAAUACCAAGGCGCUUGAGAGAACUCGGGUGAAGGAACUAGGCAAAAUGGUGCCGUAACUUCGGGAGAAGGCACGC